Lutra lutra (Eurasian river otter) is the source of this 103-nucleotide small nuclear RNA. The record is from RefSeq and is a predicted model, not a curated record. NCBI's taxonomy places the organism in Eukaryota, Metazoa, Chordata, Mammalia, Carnivora, Mustelidae.
GUGUUCAUAUGGCAGCACAUAUCCUAAAAAUUGGGAUGAUACAGAGACUAGCAUUGCCCUGUGCAAGGAUGACACGCAAAUUCAUGAAGCAUCCCAUAUGUUU